CCGAUAGUGAACUAGUACCGUGAGGGAAAGGCGAAAAGAACCCCGGGAGGGGAGUGAAAUAGAUCCUGAAACCGUAUGCUUACAAAAAGUAGGAGCCCGCAAGGGUGACUGCGUACCUUUUGUAUAAUGGGUCAGCGACUUACAUUCAGUGGCAAGGUUAACCGAAUAGGGAAGCCGUAGAGAAAUCGAGUCCGAAUAGGGCGAAUUAGUCGCUGCUCCUAGUACGAGAGGACCGGAGUGGACACACCUCUGGUGUAUCGGUUGUCACGCCAGUGGCAUUGCCGAGUAGCUAUGUGUGGAAGAGAUAACCGCUGAAAGCAUCUAAGCGGGAAACUCGUUUCAAGAUGAGAUCUGCCGGGGCCUUGAGCCCCCUAAAGAGUCGUUCAAGACCAGGACGUUGAUAGGUCAGGUGUGGAAGCGUAGUAAUACGUUAAGCUAACUGAUACUAAUUGCUCGUGCGACUUGACCCUAUAACUUUG
RNAcentral lists this ribosomal RNA (479 nucleotides) under Limnohabitans sp. TS-CS-82. RNAcentral's name for it is "bacterial LSU rRNA". It matches the Rfam family "Bacterial large subunit ribosomal RNA", at positions 484 to 2925 of the family's 2925-position model. Lineage: Bacteria; Pseudomonadati; Pseudomonadota; Betaproteobacteria; Burkholderiales; Comamonadaceae. The record is from RNAcentral.